GGCUCACUCACCUGCAGCGAAGGGCUCUGCGCCUGCCCCGCGCUCCGCCCCCUGCGUCCGCCGGUUGCUAGGACGCCAGGUAAACACCGGCGCCCGGUCCUGCGCACAAGGUCUCGCUCGCGGGGGGAGCGCCCCAAGCCCGCCGCAGCCGCAGCUGUAACCGCAGCCGCGGGCGCCCCCGCCCUCGGGCGCCCAGUACCCCGCGUGCCCCUGCCCUGGACGCUGCUUGGUCCUCCUCGUCGUCCAGGCGUCCCCGGACUCGCUCCACCAGGCCAAGAGUUGAACCAGUACCCCCACAGAGACAGGCCGGAUCAUUAACCAACUUCGCCAUAGCAGGAACUCCAGCUACUUUUAAAUUGUGAUGUGAGAAUACACUCAGUCAUUACACAACACCGGGAAAGCCAGCCUUAAAGAUAUCGAUAACAUCUGUAUUGAGGCCCCUUCAAGGGCAAGCUUCCUGCUUUUCACGAAGGACCUCAACACGCCCUGUGGGUAACCAGGAAGAUGCUGCGGGCUGCGUUUCUACUGGGGGACCAGGGAAUGGAUCGUUUCAUCCACUGGCACUACGUCCAGUGUCUCAGACUUCCUAAAUUACAUCUAAAUGCUUUUGUUGCCUUAGGAAAGUCUAAAAAUGCCGUGCAAUAAAACAGUGAAUAAGCUGAA
Long non-coding RNA from Phacochoerus africanus (Common warthog), 663 nucleotides. RefSeq lists it as uncharacterized. The record is from RefSeq and is a predicted model, not a curated record. The transcript has 6 exons. Lineage: Eukaryota; Metazoa; Chordata; Mammalia; Artiodactyla; Suidae.